Molecule: small RNA, 212 nt
Filed under: Arabidopsis thaliana (thale cress)
Lineage: Eukaryota; Viridiplantae; Streptophyta; Magnoliopsida; Brassicales; Brassicaceae
Description: ATSL049970
Source: RNAcentral
UAAAAAAUAACAGUCACAGCUUCUACAACUUUGUUUUACCAAUCUGAUUUUAACAGCCAAAGUCUUUACAGCUAAAUUCUUUGUACCUCAAAUUUUUAAAGUCAAACCUUCUAAAGCCAAAAAUAACGGUCGUUACCAAUCUGUUAAAAAAAUUUACCUUCUGAAUUAGCAUAAACUGAUUUCGGUAUACCAUGUUUCAAUUUCUUCUGACU